This 48-nucleotide non-coding RNA is filed under the name Trichobilharzia regenti. The record is from RNAcentral. Lineage: Eukaryota; Metazoa; Platyhelminthes; Trematoda; Strigeidida; Schistosomatidae.
AUCCAGCUGAAGAGUCCCAAAUACGAUGAAACGCGUGUGUUCCUGGAU